Molecule: unclassified non-coding RNA, 499 nt
Filed under: uncultured Glomeromycotina
Lineage: Eukaryota; Fungi; Glomeromycota
Description: SSU rRNA
Rfam family: Eukaryotic small subunit ribosomal RNA
Source: RNAcentral
CCAAUAGCGUAUAUUAAAGUUGUUGCAGUUAAAAAGCUCGUUGUUGAAUUUCGAGAUCAAAUUGUUGGUCGUGCCUCGGUACGUACUGGCAUUAUUGAUUUCUCCCUUCUGAAGAACCUUGAUGUCAUUAAUUUGGUGUCUUGGGGAAUCAGGACCGUUACUUUGAAAAAAUUAGAGUGUUUAAAGCAGGCUCACGCUUGAAUACAUUAGCAUGGAAUAAUGAAAUAGGACGUUUGAUUCUAUUUUGUUGGUUUCUAGGAUCGACGUAAUGAUUAAUAGGGAUAGUUGGGGGCAUUAGUAUUCAAUUGUCAGAGGUGAAAUUCUUGUAUUUAUUGAAGACUAACUACUGCGAAAGCAUUUGCCAAGGAUGUUUUCAUUAAUCAAGAACGAAAGUUAGGGGAUCGAAGACGAUCAGAUACCGUCGUAGUCUUAACCAUAAACUAUGCCGACUAGGGAUCGGAUGAUGUUAAUUUUUUAAUGACUCAUUCGGCGCCUUACG